GACGAACGCUGGCGGCGUGCUUAACACAUGCAAGUCGAGCGGUAAGGCCCUUUCGGGGGUACACGAGCGGCGAACGGGUGAGUAACACGUGGGUGACCUGCCCUCAGCUCUGGGAUAAGCCUGGGAAACCGGGUCUAAUACUGGAUAUGACUCCAUGACGCAUGUUGUGGGGUGGAAAGCCUUGUGCGGCUGAGGAUGGGCCCGCGGCCCAUCAGCUUGUUGGUGGGGUGANGGCCUACCAAGGCGACGACGGGUAGCCGGCCUGAGAGGGCGACCGGCCACACUGGGACUGAGACACGGCCCAGACUCCUACGGGAGGCAGCAGUGGGGAAUCUUGCGCAAUGGGCGAAAGCCUGACGCAGCGACGCCGCGUGAGGGAUGACGGCCUGG
This 390-nucleotide ribosomal RNA is filed under the name uncultured bacterium. RNAcentral describes it as "bacterial SSU rRNA". It matches the Rfam family "Bacterial small subunit ribosomal RNA", at positions 28 to 419 of the family's 1533-position model. The record is from RNAcentral.